This 554-nucleotide ribosomal RNA is filed under the name uncultured bacterium. RNAcentral describes it as "bacterial SSU rRNA". It matches the Rfam family "Bacterial small subunit ribosomal RNA", at positions 81 to 649 of the family's 1533-position model. The record is from RNAcentral.
ACCGCUUGUCGGGAGAGGCACGACGGCUGAGUAACGCGUGGGAAUCAACCUUAGACUCGAGCACAGCUCACCGAAAGGUGGGGUAAUUCUCGAUAGUCUGUACGUCAUUUCGGUGAUUGUAUAGUAAAGCUCCGGUGGUCUAAGACGAGCCCGCGUCCUAUCAGGUUGUUGGUGGGGUAAAAGCCUACCAAGCCUAUGACGGGUAGCCGGUCUGAGAGGAUGAUCAGCCAGACUGGGACUGCGAUACGGCCCAGACUCCUACGGGAGGCAGCAAUCAGGAAUCGUGCGCAAUGGACGAAAGUCUGACGCCGCGACAUCGCGUGGAGGAUGACGGCUUUAGGGUUGUAAACUCCUUUUCCCAUCGAACAAGUUCUGAGUGUAGAUGAGGAAUAAGUGCCUGCUAAUCACGUGCCAGAAGCAUCGGUAAUACGUGAGGCACGAGCGUUAUCCGGAAUUACUGGGCGUAAAGAGAUGCGUAGGCGUCCAUUCAAGUUACUUGUUAAAUCUCCUCGCUCAACGGGGAAAGCGCAAGUAAUACUGAGUGGAUUGAGGCA